AAGUCGUAACAAGGUUUCCGUAGGUGAACCUGCGGAAGGAUCAUUAACACGUAUCCAAACGUUAAACCCCCCCCGUGAACCUUCAUCGUGCUCUAGUGGGCCACUGAUAAACACAGCAAUUCCUGGUAAAUCAUUGUCUGAACAAGCCUUUGAGUCAGGAACCUCUGUGCAGUGCGAGCUACACCCACUAUAGAAGCGCUAGUUCCAUCGGCAUUGUUUCCCCAAGCAGCCAGUGCGUGAAAGUGGCAACUGACUGUGCAAGGAUAACGCUUAACGAUUUUGCAGCCGCAACACGCGGGCAGAGCUUUGCCAAAGGGUCCCCAUGCCCCUUCCUUGGAUGGGGUAAAACCGAACAACUGUUAACAAUGGAUAUCUUGGUUCUC
RNAcentral lists this unclassified non-coding RNA (383 nucleotides) under fungal sp. RNAcentral describes it as "partial internal transcribed spacer region". The stretch from base 1 to 46 matches the Rfam family "Eukaryotic small subunit ribosomal RNA", at positions 1786 to 1831 of the family's 1831-position model. The record is from RNAcentral. Lineage: Eukaryota; Fungi.